CAAUAGCGUAUAUUAAAGUUGUUGCAAUUAAAAAGCUCGUAGUUGAAUUUCAAAGGCGGAAGAGCAAGUCGGCCGCAAGGUCUGUAUUUCUCGUCCGUUUUUAAUUUUUUGGGUGAGGGCGGUCUGUUAUUAAUUUAAUGGGUCGUUCCCCCCAAUCGUUUACUGUGAAUAAAAUAGAGUGUUCAAAGCAGGCUUUUUGUUUGAAUACUACAGCAUGGAAUAAUAGAAUAGGAGGUUACCUUUAUUUUGUUGGUUUCUAUUGGCAACCUAAUGAUUAAUAGGGAUAGUCGGGGGCAUUUGUAUUUCCUAGUCAGAGGUGAAAUUCUUGGAUUUAGGAAAGACAAACUUCUGCGAAAGCAUCUGCCAAGGAUGCUUUCAUUAA
Molecule: ribosomal RNA, 382 nt
Filed under: uncultured eukaryote
Lineage: Eukaryota
Description: partial 18S ribosomal RNA
Rfam family: Eukaryotic small subunit ribosomal RNA
Source: RNAcentral